GGCUUCGUAGCUCAGAUGGUUAGAGCGGCAGAUUCAUAUCCUGCAGGUCCCCUGUUCAAUUCAGGGCGAAGCCACCA
Molecule: transfer RNA, 77 nt
Filed under: Halobacteriovorax sp.
Lineage: Bacteria; Pseudomonadati; Bdellovibrionota; Bacteriovoracia; Bacteriovoracales; Halobacteriovoraceae
Also listed under: 1 other name
Description: tRNA-Met
Rfam family: tRNA
About the family: Transfer RNA (tRNA) molecules are approximately 80 nucleotides in length.
Source: RNAcentral